This 451-nucleotide ribosomal RNA is filed under the name uncultured bacterium. Its description in RNAcentral is "bacterial SSU rRNA". It matches the Rfam family "Bacterial small subunit ribosomal RNA", at positions 28 to 492 of the family's 1533-position model. The record is from RNAcentral.
GACGAACGCUGGCGGCGUGCUUAACACAUGCAAGUCGAACGGUGAAGGAAGAGCUUGCUCUUCCGGAUCAGUGGCGAACGGGUGAGUAACACGUGGGCAACCUGCCCUGACUCUGGGAUAACUCCUCGAAAGAGGUGCUAAUACCGGAUACGACCACUUCGGACAUCCGAUGGUGGUGGAAAGUUUUUCGGUCAGGGAUGGGCCCGCGGCCUAUCAGCUAGUUGGUGGGGUAAUGGCCUACCAAGGCGACGACGGGUAGCCGGCCUGAGAGGGCGACCGGCCACACUGGGACUGAGACACGGCCCAGACUCCUACGGGAGGCAGCAGUGGGGAAUAUUGCGCAAUGGGCGAAAGCCUGACGCAGCGACGCCGCGUGAGGGAUGAAGGCCUUCGGGUUGUAACCGUCUUUCAGCAGGGACGAAGCGAAAGUGACGGUACCUGCAGAGAAGCA